AUGCGCCUUGCCAGCCCGCUCAGGUGUGCCAGCAGCCGCGGUAAUACGGAGGAUGCGAGCGUUAUCCGGAUUUAUUGGGUUUAAAGGGUGCGUAGGCGGUCCGUUAAGUCAGCGGUAAAAUUGCGGGGCUCAACCCCGUCGAGCCGUUGAAACUGUCAGACUUGAGUUGGCGAGAAGUACGCGGAAUGCGCGGUGUAGCGGUGAAAUGCAUAGAUAUCGCGCAGAACUCCGAUUGCGAAGGCAGCGUACCGGCGCCACACUGACGCUGAGGCACGAAAGCGUGGGGAUCGAACAGG
RNAcentral lists this ribosomal RNA (296 nucleotides) under uncultured bacterium. RNAcentral describes it as "partial 16S ribosomal RNA". It matches the Rfam family "Bacterial small subunit ribosomal RNA", at positions 477 to 776 of the family's 1533-position model. The record is from RNAcentral.